This 247-nucleotide ribosomal RNA is filed under the name uncultured bacterium. Its description in RNAcentral is "partial 16S ribosomal RNA". It matches the Rfam family "Bacterial small subunit ribosomal RNA", at positions 86 to 334 of the family's 1533-position model. The record is from RNAcentral.
AGAUGGCGACCGGCGCACGGGUGAGUAACACGUAUCCAACCUGCCGAUAACUCGGGGAUAGCCUUUCGAAAGAAAGAUUAAUACCCGAUGGUAUAAUAAAGCCGCAUGGUUUAAUUAUUAAAGAAUUUCGGUUAUCGAUGGGGAUGCGUUCCAUUAGGCAGUUGGUGAGGUAGCGGCUCACCAAACCUUCGAUGGAUAGGGGUUCUGAGAGGAAGGUCCCCCACAUUGGAACUGAGACACGGUCCAA